Molecule: transfer RNA, 50 nt
Filed under: Mansonella ozzardi
Lineage: Eukaryota; Metazoa; Nematoda; Chromadorea; Rhabditida; Onchocercidae
Description: tRNA-Ser
Source: RNAcentral
AAGUUAAUUUUUUAGUUUUGAAAACUAAUUUUGGAGUUUUCCUUAGCUUU